Molecule: ribosomal RNA, 738 nt
Filed under: Sanguinoderma rugosum
Lineage: Eukaryota; Fungi; Basidiomycota; Agaricomycetes; Polyporales; Polyporaceae
Description: partial 28S rRNA
Rfam family: Eukaryotic large subunit ribosomal RNA
Source: RNAcentral
GUUGUAGUCUGGAGAAGUGCUUUCCGCGCUGGACCGUGUAUAAGUCUCUUGGAACAGAGCGUCAUAGAGGGUGAGAAUCCCGUCUUUGACACGGACUACCAGUGCUUUGUGAUGCGCUCUCAAAGAGUCGAGUUGUUUGGGAAUGCAGCUCAAAAUGGGUGGUGAAUUCCAUCUAAAGCUAAAUAUUGGCGAGAGACCGAUAGCGAACAAGUACCGUGAGGGAAAGAUGAAAAGCACUUUGGAAAGAGAGUUAAACAGUACGUGAAAUUGCUGAAAGGGAAACGCUUGAAGUCAGUCGCGUUGUCUGGGACUCAGCCUUGCUUUUGCUUGGUGCACUUUCCGGAUGACGGGCCAGCAUCGAUUUUGACCGUCGGAAAAGGGCUAGGGUAAUGUGGCACCUCCGGGUGUGUUAUAGACUUUAGUCGCAUACGGCGGUCGGGAUCGAGGAACGCAGCGCGCCGUAAGGCAGGGGUUCGCCCACUUUCGCGCUUAGGAUGCUGGCGUAAUGGCUUUAAACGACCCGUCUUGAAACACGGACCAAGGAGUCUAACAUACCUGCGAGUGUUUGGGUGGAAAACCCGAGCGCGUAAUGAAAGUGAAAGUUGAGACCUCUGUCGUGGAGGGCAUCGACGCCCGGACCUGACGUUCUCUGACGGAUCCGCGGUAGAGCAUGUAUGUUGGGACCCGAAAGAUGGUGAACUAUGCCUGAAUAGGGUGAAGCCAGAGGAAACUCUGGUG